AAAGCCUUUAACUUCUACUUCCCCCCUUUUUCCCUUUCGUCCUCCUGCUAAAGCCGCUCAUUUGAGAGAAAAGUACUCUCCACCGUUCAGUUCAUCAACUCUUCACCGUUCAGCUCUCUACCGCAUCUCAUCAACUCUUCAUCAUUCAGCUCAUCAAUUCUCCAGGUAAAAACCGAGCAUCAGAUUCCAUCUAGCUUAUCGCAUCCUAUAAUGAUUCCUGAGUGAAAAUGAGAGCGUGUUUCUAUGGACCUCCUAAUGGGGUUGACAUUAACCCAGAGAAAGAAAGAUGCAAUCAAGGUUAUAGUUGAUCUGUUAACAAAUUCUGCACAUUUUAUACUUGUACGUACGGAUUACUCACUUGAUAAAUUGGCAGAGUUGUAUGCUUCAAAAAAUAGUCAGAUUAAACGGUGUUCCAUUAUCAAUCAUUUCUAAUCA
Long non-coding RNA from Gossypium arboreum, 435 nucleotides. RefSeq lists it as uncharacterized. The transcript is spliced from 2 exons. NCBI's taxonomy places the organism in Eukaryota, Viridiplantae, Streptophyta, Magnoliopsida, Malvales, Malvaceae. The record is from RefSeq and is a predicted model, not a curated record.